This is a small nuclear RNA of Balaenoptera musculus (blue whale), 103 nucleotides long. The record is from Ensembl. Lineage: Eukaryota; Metazoa; Chordata; Mammalia; Artiodactyla; Balaenopteridae.
GUGCUCAAUUUGACAGCAUAUAUACUGAAAUUGGAACAAUACAGAGAAGACUAGCAUGGCCCCUGUGCAAGAAUGACAGAUUUCUAAAGCAUUCUUUAUUUUU